RNAcentral lists this ribosomal RNA (523 nucleotides) under Lasius emarginatus. RNAcentral's name for it is "partial 16S ribosomal RNA". The stretch from base 1 to 166 matches the Rfam family "Archaeal large subunit ribosomal RNA", at positions 1888 to 2097 of the family's 2987-position model. The record is from RNAcentral. Lineage: Eukaryota; Metazoa; Arthropoda; Insecta; Hymenoptera; Formicidae.
UCGCCUGUUUAUCAAAAACAUGGUUUUUUGAAUUAUAAUUUAAGAUUAGUUCUGCUCAAUGAUUUGAAAUUAAAUAGCCGCAGUAUUUUGACUGUGCUAAGGUAGCAUAAUCAAUUGUUUUUUAAUUAAGAACUGGAAUGAAGGAAUUGAUGAGAUUAAGACUGUCUAAUAUAAAAUGUUAAAAUUUAAAUUUUAAGUAAUAAUUCUUAAAUAAAGUUAUGGGACGAGAAGACCCUGUAGAAUUUGAUAUAAUUUUUUAAAAUAAGUAUAAAUAAGAUUUAAUAAAAUUAAUAUUUUAUUGGGAGGAUAAUUAAAUUAAAUUAACUUUAAAAUUUAAAAUUAAACAUUAAUUUAUGAUAAUAGUUGAAUAAUUUUAUUAUAAUAAUUAAAAUUAAUUAAAAAUUAAUUACCUUAGGGAUAACAGCGUAAUAUUUUUAAAAAGAUCAUAUUGAUAAAAGUGUUUGCGACCUCGAUGUUGAAUUAAAAUAAAAAUUAAACGAAGAAGUUUAAUAUUUUAGUCUGU